GACGAACCGUCCAAACGUUAUUCGGAAUCACUGGGCUUAAAGGGUGCGUAGGCGGCUCUGAAAGUUGGGUGUGAAAGCCCUCGGCUCAACCGAGGAAUUGCGCCCAAAACUACAGAGCUAGAGGAAGACAGAGGUGAGCGGAACUUAGGGUGGAGCGGUGAUAUGCGUUGAGAUCCUAAGGAACACCAGUAGCGAAAGCGGCUCACUGGGUCUUUUCUGACGCUGAGUGCACGAAAGCUAGGGGAGCGAAGAGG
Molecule: ribosomal RNA, 254 nt
Filed under: uncultured bacterium
Lineage: Bacteria
Description: partial 16S ribosomal RNA
Rfam family: Bacterial small subunit ribosomal RNA
Source: RNAcentral